This 460-nucleotide ribosomal RNA is filed under the name uncultured bacterium. RNAcentral's name for it is "partial 16S ribosomal RNA". It matches the Rfam family "Bacterial small subunit ribosomal RNA", at positions 338 to 795 of the family's 1533-position model. The record is from RNAcentral.
CCUACGGGAGGCAGCAGUGAGGAAUAUUGGUCAAUGGACGAGAGUCUGAACCAGCCAAGUAGCGUGAAGGAUGACUGCCCUAUGGGUUGUAAACUUCUUUUAUAUGGGAAUAAAAUGUUCCACGUGUGGGAUUUUGUAUGUACCAUAUGAAUAAGGAUCGGCUAACUCCGUGCCAGCAGCCGCGGUAAUACUGAGGAUCCGAGCGUUAUCCGGAUUUAUUGGGUUUAAAGGGAGCGUAGGUGGAUUGUUAAGUCAGUUGUGAAAGUUUGCGGCUCAACCGUAAAAUUGCAGUUGAAACUGGCAGUCUUGAGUACAGUAGAGGUGGGCGGAAUUCGUGGUGUAGCGGUGAAAUGCUUAGAUAUCACGAAGAACUCCGAUUGCGAAGGCAGUUCACUGGACUGCAACUGACACUGAGGCUCGAAAGUGAGGGUAUCAAACAGGAUUAGAUACCCGAGUAGUC